Pogoniulus pusillus (Red-fronted tinkerbird) is the source of this 1434-nucleotide long non-coding RNA. RefSeq lists it as uncharacterized. The transcript has 4 exons. The record is from RefSeq and is a predicted model, not a curated record. NCBI's taxonomy places the organism in Eukaryota, Metazoa, Chordata, Aves, Piciformes, Lybiidae.
CCUCCACUAGACCAGGUUGAUCAAGGCCUUAUCCAACCUGGCCUUGAACACCUCUGGGAGGGGGUCAUCCGCAACCUUCCUGUUUCAGUGUCUCAUCACCCUUGCUGUAAAUUUACCCUUACUUUUAUUUUCCUCUAAUUUUCCCAGAGAUCUUGUCCUCUGAGGAUGGAAACUGGAUGUUGCUGGGUGAGAGCUGGAAGCAGGCACAAGCCUUUCAAGCCAAGACCCAAAGACUUCUGAAGUUGGAGGAGGAGACAAGAGGAGGAGGGCAACAUCUACUUGGAGUAUGUUAGCAAAUGCUGACCAAGUGAACUCAUGUGCUACUGCUUUGCUCCAGAUUACCUGCUGUUUAGAGGACAGAAAUCGUGACAGUCACUGUUUGAAAACGGAGGAGCAAAGGAAGAUUGACAACAACUAGAGGGAGUGUAAAAAGUAAUACAGGGGGAAAGGAGUACAGGAAUACCCAAAAACUGGGGAGAGUCCAGACUGGAGACAAGUGGAUGUUCAAGUGAAAAAUAUCUGGUAACUGGAGAGCCAUAGAUGGACCUUUCUGUAGGUAAUAUGUGGAGAGACUUGACUAAGACUCCAACUGGUUUCAUUUAUCACCAAAGCAGUGAAUAAUCUCCAAAGCUGUGCUGUGGCUGGACCCGCAAAUUCUCGCUUUAUUUAAACCAUCCCUCAAAGAACAAUUCAGCUCCUUGCACCUGUCUCUUCUUACAUGACUACAGUCAAGAGCAAGGGUACAGAAACAUCAGAUGUUGUAUUAAUGGCUACAAACCCAAAGCUUCAGCUAAAAACCUCAACAACUGUUCAGCAACAGGUGCACUAUGGUCUGGAUGUCAAAAUCUACAGCAAAACUUUCUCUGGAGGUUUCACAGACUUCUCUAGGAGCCUGUGUUACACAUCCAUCAGCAGGUUUGUGCCCCAGAAGAGCUUCAGUUGCUGCCUUUAUUAGUCUGCAGUACAAACUCAGGGGCUUUUGACUCUCCACACUUGCGGUUAAGAGUAGCAAAAUUGGUGUUGCUUGCUUAAUGCUGCUGUAAACCAGGCACAAGGUAGAAAAGGGGCAAUUUCUCCUGGCAGGGAUUUUCCUGGUGAGUUUGUCUCAGUUCCAUUCUCAGAAGUAUUCUCAUAGGGGUGCUAAUGCCAGUCCAAACCCCCUCCAGAUUUUGACUGUCCUUUAUUUCGUUGUACAGGAAAGUUCUUAGCACAUGCAGUGAGAACAGAUAUAUUUCCAAAAACACUUAGCCUUGCUGGGAUGAUUUAGGAGGAGCUUCCAGUUCACAGAGCAAAUCUGGGCACUCCUUUAGCAUGAGAGUGAUCUUUCUUCCAACAGUCCUGAAGGGCUUCACCAAAUUUUAUGUUAAACCUCCUCUAGGAAAAAUAAGCUGUGCCUCAUUGUUCUUGCUUGAAACUGUAUUUUUACAAGUAUAA